Molecule: ribosomal RNA, 253 nt
Filed under: uncultured bacterium
Lineage: Bacteria
Description: partial 16S ribosomal RNA
Rfam family: Bacterial small subunit ribosomal RNA
Source: RNAcentral
UACAGAGGGUGCAAGCGUUAAUCGGAAUUACUGGGCGUAAAGCGCGCGUAGGUGGUUUGGUAAGUCGGAUGUGAAAUCCCCGGGCUCAACCUGGGAACUGCAUUCGAAACUGCCUGGCUAGAGUUUGAGAGAGGGAAGUGGAAUUCCGCGUGUAGCAGUGAAAUGCGUAGAUAUGCGGAGGAACACCGAUGGCGAAGGCAAUCCCCUGGACCUGUACUGACGCUCAUGCACGAAAGCGUGGGGAGCAAACAGG